GGAGGAUUAGCUCAGUUGGGAGAGCGCUUGCUUGACGUGCAAGAGGUCAUGGGUUCGAGCCCCGUAUCGUCCACCA
This 76-nucleotide transfer RNA is filed under the name Erysipelothrix sp. Its description in RNAcentral is "tRNA-Val". It matches the Rfam family "tRNA". From Rfam's summary of the family: Transfer RNA (tRNA) molecules are approximately 80 nucleotides in length. Their secondary structure includes four short double-helical elements and three loops (D, anti-codon, and T loops). Further hydrogen bonds mediate the characteristic L-shaped molecular structure. tRNAs have two regions of fundamental functional importance: the anti-codon, which is responsible for specific mRNA codon recognition, and the 3' end, to which the tRNAs corresponding amino acid is attached (by aminoacyl-tRNA synthetases). tRNAs cope with the degeneracy of the genetic code in two manners: having more than one tRNA (with a specific anti-codon) for a particular amino acid; and 'wobble' base-pairing, i.e. permitting non-standard base-pairing at the 3rd anti-codon position. Lineage: Bacteria; Bacillati; Bacillota; Erysipelotrichia; Erysipelotrichales; Erysipelotrichaceae. The record is from RNAcentral.